Molecule: ribosomal RNA, 253 nt
Filed under: uncultured bacterium
Lineage: Bacteria
Description: partial 16S ribosomal RNA
Rfam family: Bacterial small subunit ribosomal RNA
Source: RNAcentral
UACAGAGGUCUCAAGCGUUGUUCGGAUUCAUUGGGCGUAAAGGGUGCGUAGGCGGCGCGGUAAGUCGGGUGUGAAAUCUUGGAGCUUAACUCCGAAACUGCAUUCGAUACUGCCGUGCUUGAGGACUGGAGAGGAGACUGGAAUUUACGGUGUAGCGGUGAAAUGCGUAGAUAUCGUAAGGAAGACCAGUGGCGAAGGCAAUCCCCUGGGCCUGCACUGACGCUCAUGCACGAAAGCGUGGGGAGCAAACAGG